RNAcentral lists this ribosomal RNA (253 nucleotides) under uncultured bacterium. RNAcentral's name for it is "partial 16S ribosomal RNA". It matches the Rfam family "Bacterial small subunit ribosomal RNA", at positions 524 to 776 of the family's 1533-position model. The record is from RNAcentral.
UACGUAGGGUGCAAGCGUUGUCCGGAAUUAUUGGGCGUAAAGAGCUCGUAGGCGGUUUGUCGCGUCGGCUGUGAAAACCUGGGGCUCAACCCCGGGCCUGCAGCCGAUACGGGCAAACUAGAAUUCGGUAGGGGAGACUGGAAUUCCUGGUGUAGCGGUGGAAUGCGCAGAUAUCAGGAGGAACACCGGUGGCGAAGGCGGGUCUCUGGGCCAUUACUGACGCUGAGGAGCGAAAGCGUGGGGAGCGAACAGG